Penaeus vannamei (Pacific white shrimp) is the source of this 202-nucleotide non-coding RNA. NCBI's taxonomy places the organism in Eukaryota, Metazoa, Arthropoda, Malacostraca, Decapoda, Penaeidae. The record is from RefSeq and is a predicted model, not a curated record.
UUCCUCUCUUCCAGUCUGACAAACAUGACUCUCAAGAUCGUCACCCUCUUUGCCCUUAUGGUUGGCGUUCUUGCUGACUCUGUUCCCUCGUACAGUCCUCCUGCUCCAUCCUACAGCCCUCCUGUUCCUUCCUAUAACGCCCCUGCACCUGCUCCAUCGGGACCUGCACAGUACGACUUCAACUAUGCCGUGAAAGACGACU